RNAcentral lists this long non-coding RNA (1320 nucleotides) under Equus asinus (donkey). Its description in RNAcentral is "lncRNA (ENSEASG00005038081.1)". The record is from RNAcentral. Lineage: Eukaryota; Metazoa; Chordata; Mammalia; Perissodactyla; Equidae.
CCCUUUGCUGCGCUCCGAAAAUCGCAACCUUGCUGGGCUUCUGGUUGCCGAUCUAGUUUUUGCCCUCCCGCUUCUUCAUUAGGUCCUUGAGAGAGCUGUGAAACACAGAUCUAUCCUGUUCAGUGCUGCGGGCCCGCGCUCUGGAAAGUUUCUGCAUUUCUUUGAGCGGCUGCUUUCCCCACCGAGUUUCCCGGGGCCCGGGCACCCGCAGCCCUCCUCUCUCUGCAGAACGUGAGGGGCGUGAGCAGUCGGGCGGUGGGCUCGUCUCUCCCCGGCUGCUGCCCAUGCAGCCAUCUCUCAUUCUCCUCUCCCUAGUGAGCCCUUCUGGAAGAAAUUGGGCCCUAAGUGUGGUCUCAGCUCUCUCAAGUGAUGGGGAGCCUUGGAGAUGGUUUGAGAACCAAGUUCUGCACGCUAGUAUCCAUUCUCCCAACUGAUAAUGACGCUUCAGUUGCCCGUAAGGAAGACCCUCCUUCCCCCAUUGGAUACAACCUUACUUCGACUGUUACUCAAGGUGUCCUACCCUCCUCUGGCCAGUGGAAAUUAAUAAGGAAUCUUCAGAGGAAGCAACAUUCUCUGGAAAGCAGACUCUUGCCAGCUCUGGUCGCUCUUCCCAGUCUUCAUGCACCUGCAGGGCUGUCAACACUGGGAGGACUGGAAGAAAUUUGUAAAGAGUCUGGGAGUCUUCAGAGAGGAAAAGAGUGCAGACCUGGACUCCUCCUUUUCCAAUGUCUUUAUUAUUAGAAGGUUUUCUAUGCAUUGAGCCGGUUCUGAUUAAGAAAGGAUCUAAUAAGAAGGAACAUUGAAGACCUUAAGCUGUUAGCCCUGCUGUGGCCGGCAUUACCCGAUGGGACAGGCUAUCCGGUCAUGGGCACGACUGGAGGCAGAAGGCCCUCCUGACCCGGCCACUGUGCUCUGUAAACUAAAAAGCUGUUGGCGCGGAUGCCAUGUCUUACCUCUGAGGAGCAGGCUGCUUCUCUCUUGACGAAUCGCUGUGGCCACUAUUGGAAUCUGCAACAGCAAAGGCCAGCGCACACCAGGCGAAAAGGUCACCCUGGCCUGUGGGGGAUCCGUUUUCAUCAGUAAACGGUGCCAGGAGCAGAACACCAGCAGCCUUCAGCUUGUAUUCUCUCAGACUCUCUGGUUUUCUCCCUCUGAGGUGGAUCAAGAGGCCCCCAGAGUUUUUGAACAAUUUGAUAGACAAGAGAGACCUUGGACUCCCUGCUAGUCUGGCAAUUGAGAAGUGGUUUUAAUUUGGAAAAAAUAACAGGUGGGACCUCAUUUUUACCCAAAACUAUUGAAGUAGAUCCUACUAUUACCACA